UAGGGAAUCUUCCACAAUGGGCGCAAGCCUGAUGGAGCAACACCGCGUGAGUGAAGAAGGGUUUCGGCUCGUAAAACUCUGUUGUUAAAGAAGAACAUAUCUGAGAGUAACUGUUCAGGUAUUGACGGUAUUUAACCAGAAAGCCACGGCUAACUACGUGCCAGCAG
This 167-nucleotide ribosomal RNA is filed under the name uncultured bacterium. RNAcentral describes it as "partial 16S ribosomal RNA". It matches the Rfam family "Bacterial small subunit ribosomal RNA", at positions 355 to 514 of the family's 1533-position model. The record is from RNAcentral.